CCGCAGGAAAAGAAAUCAACCGAGAUUCCGAAAGUAGCGGCGAGCGAAAUCGGAUCAGCCCAGUGCUUGAUAAUGCUGCCGACAGCAGAACGGUCUGGAAAGUCCGGCUACAGAGGGUGAUAGCCCCGUAUGCGAAGUCCGCAGCAUGGUACUAAGAGCACGAUAAGUAGGGCGGGACACGUGACAUCCUGUCUGAAGAUGGGGGGACCAUCCUCCAAGGCUAAAUACUCGUGAUCGACCGAUAGUGAACCAGUACUGUGAAGGAAAGGCGAAAAGAACCCCGGGAGGGGAGUGAAAUAGAUCCUGAAACCGCAUACAUACAAACAGUAGGAGCCUCUUUAAGGGGUGACUGCGUACCUUUUGCAUAAUGGGUCAGCGACUUACGUUCAAUGGCGAGCUUAACCGUAUAGGGGAGGCGCAGCGAAAGCGAGUUCGAACAGAGCGAUUUCAGUCGUUGGGCGUAGACCCGAAACCAGAUGAUCUAUCCAUGGUCAGGUUGAAGGUGUGGUAACACACACUGGAGGACCGAACCGACUAGUGUUGCAAAAUUAGCGGAUGAACUGUGGAUAGGGGUGAAAGGCUAAACAAAUCUGGAGAUAGCUGGUUCUCCCCGAAAACUAUUGAGGUAGUGCCUCGUGUAUGGCUCCAGGGGGUAGAGCACUGUUAUGGCUAGGGGGACAUGGCGUCUUACCAAACCAUGGCAAACUCCGAAUACUUGGAAGUCGAAGCACGGGAGACAGAGCACCGGGUGCUAACGUCCGGACUCAAAAGGGAAACAACCCAGACCGCCGGCUAAGGUCCCUAAUAUGAACUGAGUGGAAAACGAAGUGGGAAGGCUAAGACAGUCAGGAAGUUGGCUUAGAAGCAGCCAUCCUUCAAAGAAAGCGUAAUAGCUCACUGAUCGAGUCUUCCUGCGCGGAAGAUGUAACGGGGCUAAGUUCAUAACCGAAGCCGCGGAUUCACACGCAAGUGUGAGUGGUAGGGGAGCGUUCUGUAAGCCUGCGAAGGUGACUCGCAAGGGUUGCUGGAGGUAUCAGAAGUGCGAAUGCUGACAUGAGUAACGUUAAAGCGGGUGAAAAGCCCGCUCGCCGUAAGCCCAAGGUUUCCUGCUCUACGUUCAUCGGAGCAGGGUGAGUCGGCCCCUAAGGCGAGGCUGAGAAGCGUAGCUGAUGGGAACAAGGUUAAUAUUCCUUGACCGCCGUUGAGUGCGAAGGGGGGACGGAGUGUUGAAGAUCAUCCGGGUGUUGGAUGUCCCGGUUUCCGCGCGUAGGAGGCCUGCAGGCAAAUCCGCAGGCGAAUCUCCGAGGCAAAGGAUCGAGUCCCAUUGGGGACGAAGUGAUUGGAUGGACUUCCAGGAAAAGCCUCUAAGCUCCAGCUCAACGGGACCGUACCGCAAACCGACACUGGUGGGCGAGCUGAAUAUGCUCAGGCGCUUGAGAGAACUCAGGAGAAGGAACUCGGCAAAUUGACACCGUAACUUCGGGAUAAGGUGUGCCUUGGUAGCGUGGAGGGAGAAACACCCCGAGCGUGAAGAGGUCUCAGAGAAUCGGUGGCUGCGACUGUUUACUAAAAACACAGCACUCUGCAAAGACGAAAGUCGACGUAUAGGGUGUGAUGCCUGCCCGGUGCUGGAAGAUUAAUUGAUGGGGUGCAAGCUCCUGAUCGAAGUCCCAGUAAACGGCGGCCGUAACUAUAACGGUCCUAAGGUAGCGAAAUUCCUUGUCGGGCAAGUUCCGACCUGCACGAAUGGCAUAACGAUGGCCACACUGUCUCCUCCUGAGACUCAGUGAAGUUGAAGUGUUUGUGAUGAUGCAAUCUCCCCGCGGCUAGACGGAAAGACCCCAUGAACCUUUACUGCAGCUUUGCAUUGGACUUUGAACCGAUCUGUGUAGGAUAGGUGGGAGGCUGUGAAACCGGGACGCCAGUCUCGGCGGAGCCGUCCUUGAAAUACCACCCUGAUUUGUUUGAGGUUCUAACCUAGGCCAGUCAUCCUGGUCGGGGACCGUGCAUGGUGGGCAGUUUGACUGGGGCGGUCUCCUCCUAAAGGGUAACGGAGGAGUGCGAAGGUACGCUAGGUACGGUCGGAAAUCGUGCUGAUAGUGCAAUGGCAAAAGCG
Molecule: ribosomal RNA, 2116 nt
Filed under: metagenome
Description: bacterial LSU rRNA
Rfam family: Bacterial large subunit ribosomal RNA
Source: RNAcentral